Molecule: ribosomal RNA, 2301 nt
Filed under: Staphylococcus aureus
Lineage: Bacteria; Bacillati; Bacillota; Bacilli; Caryophanales; Staphylococcaceae
Also listed under: 1 other name
Description: partial 23S ribosomal RNA
Rfam family: Bacterial large subunit ribosomal RNA
Source: RNAcentral
CCGGCGAGUUACGAUUUGAUGCAAGGUUAAGCAGUAAAUGUGGAGCCGUAGCGAAAGCGAGUCUGAAUAGGGCGUUUAGUAUUUGGUCGUAGACCCGAAACCAGGUGAUCUACCCUUGGUCAGGUUGAAGUUCAGGUAACACUGAAUGGAGGACCGAACCGACUUACGUUGAAAAGUGAGCGGAUGAACUGAGGGUAGCGGAGAAAUUCCAAUCGAACCUGGAGAUAGCUGGUUCUCUCCGAAAUAGCUUUAGGGCUAGCCUCAAGUGAUGAUUAUUGGAGGUAGAGCACUGUUUGGACGAGGGGCCCCUCUCGGGUUACCGAAUUCAGACAAACUCCGAAUGCCAAUUAAUUUAACUUGGGAGUCAGAACAUGGGUGAUAAGGUCCGUGUUCGAAAGGGAAACAGCCCAGACCACCAGCUAAGGUCCCAAAAUAUAUGUUAAGUGGAAAAGGAUGUGGCGUUGCCCAGACAACUAGGAUGUUGGCUUAGAAGCAGCCAUCAUUUAAAGAGUGCGUAAUAGCUCACUAGUCGAGUGACACUGCGCCGAAAAUGUACCGGGGCUAAACAUAUUACCGAAGCUGUGGAUUGUCCUUUGGACAAUGGUAGGAGAGCGUUCUAAGGGCGUUGAAGCAUGAUCGUAAGGACAUGUGGAGCGCUUAGAAGUGAGAAUGCCGGUGUGAGUAGCGAAAGACGGGUGAGAAUCCCGUCCACCGAUUGACUAAGGUUUCCAGAGGAAGGCUCGUCCGCUCUGGGUUAGUCGGGUCCUAAGCUGAGGCCGACAGGCGUAGGCGAUGGAUAACAGGUUGAUAUUCCUGUACCACCUAUAAUCGUUUUAAUCGAUGGGGGGACGCAGUAGGAUAGGCGAAGCGUGCGAUUGGAUUGCACGUCUAAGCAGUAAGGCUGAGUAUUAGGCAAAUCCGGUACUCGUUAAGGCUGAGCUGUGAUGGGGAGAAGACAUUGUGUCUUCGAGUCGUUGAUUUCACACUGCCGAGAAAAGCCUCUAGAUAGAAAAUAGGUGCCCGUACCGCAAACCGACACAGGUAGUCAAGAUGAGAAUUCUAAGGUGAGCGAGCGAACUCUCGUUAAGGAACUCGGCAAAAUGACCCCGUAACUUCGGGAGAAGGGGUGCUCUUUAGGGUUAACGCCCAGAAGAGCCGCAGUGAAUAGGCCCAAGCGACUGUUUAUCAAAAACACAGGUCUCUGCUAAACCGUAAGGUGAUGUAUAGGGGCUGACGCCUGCCCGGUGCUGGAAGGUUAAGAGGAGUGGUUAGCUUCUGCGAAGCUACGAAUCGAAGCCCCAGUAAACGGCGGCCGUAACUAUAACGGUCCUAAGGUAGCGAAAUUCCUUGUCGGGUAAGUUCCGACCCGCACGAAAGGCGUAACGAUUUGGGCACUGUCUCAACGAGAGACUCGGUGAAAUCAUAGUACCUGUGAAGAUGCAGGUUACCCGCGACAGGACGGAAAGACCCCGUGGAGCUUUACUGUAGCCUGAUAUUGAAAUUCGGCACAGCUUGUACAGGAUAGGUAGGAGCCUUUGAAACGUGAGCGCUAGCUUACGUGGAGGCGCUGGUGGGAUACUACCCUAGCUGUGUUGGCUUUCUAACCCGCACCACUUAUCGUGGUGGGAGACAGUGUCAGGCGGGCAGUUUGACUGGGGCGGUCGCCUCCUAAAAGGUAACGGAGGCGCUCAAAGGUUCCCUCAGAAUGGUUGGAAAUCAUUCAUAGAGUGUAAAGGCAUAAGGGAGCUUGACUGCGAGACCUACAAGUCGAGCAGGGUCGAAAGACGGACUUAGUGAUCCGGUGGUUCCGCAUGGAAGGGCCAUCGCUCAACGGAUAAAAGCUACCCCGGGGAUAACAGGCUUAUCUCCCCCAAGAGUUCACAUCGACGGGGAGGUUUGGCACCUCGAUGUCGGCUCAUCGCAUCCUGGGGCUGUAGUCGGUCCCAAGGGUUGGGCUGUUCGCCCAUUAAAGCGGUACGCGAGCUGGGUUCAGAACGUCGUGAGACAGUUCGGUCCCUAUCCGUCGUGGGCGUAGGAAAUUUGAGAGGAGCUGUCCUUAGUACGAGAGGACCGGGAUGGACAUACCUCUGGUGUACCAGUUGUCGUGCCAACGGCAUAGCUGGGUAGCUAUGUGUGGACGGGAUAAGUGCUGAAAGCAUCUAAGCAUGAAGCCCCCCUCAAGAUGAGAUUUCCCAACUUCGGUUAUAAGAUCCCUCAAAGAUGAUGAGGUUAAUAGGUUCGAGGUGGAAGCAUGGUGACAUGUGGAGCUGACGAAUACUAAUCGAUCGAAGACUUAAUCAA